AAUCAACGCUGGCGGCGUGCCUAACACAUGCAAGUCGAACGCGAAAGGGACUUCGGUCCUGAGUAGAGUGGCGAACGGGUGAGUAACGCGUGGGUGACCUACCCUCGAGUGGGGGAUAACGUUCCGAAAGGGACGCUAAUACCGCAUGACAUUCCGGGUUUGAAGACCUGGAAAUCAAAGCCGGGGACCGCAAGGCCUGGCGCUAGAGGAGGGGCCCGCGUCUGAUUAGCUAGUUGGCGGGGUAACGGCCCACCAAGGCGACGAUCAGUAGCCGGCCUGAGAGGGCGGACGGCCACACUGGGACUGAGACACGGCCCAGACUCCUACGGGAGGCAGCAGUGGGGAAUUGUUCGCAAUGGGCGCAAGCCUGACGACGCAACGCCGCGUGGAGGAUGAAGGUCUUCGGAUUGUAAACUCCUGUUGAUCGGGACGAAAAGACUUCAACCUAAUACGUUGAGGACUGACGGUACCGGUUGAGGAAGCCACGGCUAACUCUGUGCCAGCAG
This 506-nucleotide ribosomal RNA is filed under the name uncultured bacterium. RNAcentral's name for it is "bacterial SSU rRNA". It matches the Rfam family "Bacterial small subunit ribosomal RNA", at positions 29 to 514 of the family's 1533-position model. The record is from RNAcentral.